This 1538-nucleotide ribosomal RNA is filed under the name Salmonella enterica subsp. enterica serovar Senftenberg. RNAcentral's name for it is "16S ribosomal RNA". It matches the Rfam family "Bacterial small subunit ribosomal RNA". The record is from RNAcentral. Lineage: Bacteria; Pseudomonadati; Pseudomonadota; Gammaproteobacteria; Enterobacterales; Enterobacteriaceae. RNAcentral also lists the same sequence under 3 other names.
UUGAAGAGUUUGAUCAUGGCUCAGAUUGAACGCUGGCGGCAGGCCUAACACAUGCAAGUCGAACGGUAACAGGAAGCAGCUUGCUGCUUUGCUGACGAGUGGCGGACGGGUGAGUAAUGUCUGGGAAACUGCCUGAUGGAGGGGGAUAACUACUGGAAACGGUGGCUAAUACCGCAUAACGUCGCAAGACCAAAGAGGGGGACCUUCGGGCCUCUUGCCAUCAGAUGUGCCCAGAUGGGAUUAGCUUGUUGGUGAGGUAACGGCUCACCAAGGCGACGAUCCCUAGCUGGUCUGAGAGGAUGACCAGCCACACUGGAACUGAGACACGGUCCAGACUCCUACGGGAGGCAGCAGUGGGGAAUAUUGCACAAUGGGCGCAAGCCUGAUGCAGCCAUGCCGCGUGUAUGAAGAAGGCCUUCGGGUUGUAAAGUACUUUCAGCGGGGAGGAAGGUGUUGUGGUUAAUAACCGCAGCAAUUGACGUUACCCGCAGAAGAAGCACCGGCUAACUCCGUGCCAGCAGCCGCGGUAAUACGGAGGGUGCAAGCGUUAAUCGGAAUUACUGGGCGUAAAGCGCACGCAGGCGGUCUGUCAAGUCGGAUGUGAAAUCCCCGGGCUCAACCUGGGAACUGCAUUCGAAACUGGCAGGCUUGAGUCUUGUAGAGGGGGGUAGAAUUCCAGGUGUAGCGGUGAAAUGCGUAGAGAUCUGGAGGAAUACCGGUGGCGAAGGCGGCCCCCUGGACAAAGACUGACGCUCAGGUGCGAAAGCGUGGGGAGCAAACAGGAUUAGAUACCCUGGUAGUCCACGCCGUAAACGAUGUCUACUUGGAGGUUGUGCCCUUGAGGCGUGGCUUCCGGAGCUAACGCGUUAAGUAGACCGCCUGGGGAGUACGGCCGCAAGGUUAAAACUCAAAUGAAUUGACGGGGGCCCGCACAAGCGGUGGAGCAUGUGGUUUAAUUCGAUGCAACGCGAAGAACCUUACCUGGUCUUGACAUCCACAGAAGAAUCCAGAGAUGGAUUUGUGCCUUCGGGAACUGUGAGACAGGUGCUGCAUGGCUGUCGUCAGCUCGUGUUGUGAAAUGUUGGGUUAAGUCCCGCAACGAGCGCAACCCUUAUCCUUUGUUGCCAGCGAUUAGGUCGGGAACUCAAAGGAGACUGCCAGUGAUAAACUGGAGGAAGGUGGGGAUGACGUCAAGUCAUCAUGGCCCUUACGACCAGGGCUACACACGUGCUACAAUGGCGCAUACAAAGAGAAGCGACCUCGCGAGAGCAAGCGGACCUCAUAAAGUGCGUCGUAGUCCGGAUUGGAGUCUGCAACUCGACUCCAUGAAGUCGGAAUCGCUAGUAAUCGUGGAUCAGAAUGCCACGGUGAAUACGUUCCCGGGCCUUGUACACACCGCCCGUCACACCAUGGGAGUGGGUUGCAAAAGAAGUAGGUAGCUUAACCUUCGGGAGGGCGCUUACCACUUUGUGAUUCAUGACUGGGGUGAAGUCGUAACAAGGUAACCGUAGGGGAACCUGCGGUUGGAUCACCUCCUU